UACACUCUUUCCCUACAUGUAGCUCUUCUAGCUCUUUUAGCUCGACAAUGCUCUGAGGUAACUCCCUCAUAGGAGAACACGAAAUUUUGAUGACUUUCAAUCUGCUCAAGCCUCCAAUAGAUUCGGGUAACCACUCAAUUUCUGUAUGCGAGACAUC
Molecule: long non-coding RNA, 157 nt
Organism: Rhodamnia argentea
Lineage: Eukaryota; Viridiplantae; Streptophyta; Magnoliopsida; Myrtales; Myrtaceae
Exons: 3
Source: RefSeq, a predicted model, not a curated record